GACGAACGCUGGCGGCGUGCUUAACACAUGCAAGUCGAACGCACCUUCGGGUGAGUGGCGGACGGGUGAGUAACGCGUAGGUAAUCUACUCUUCAGUGGGGGAUACCCAGCCGAAAGGUUGGUAAUACCGCAUACGCUCCUGUGCAGAGAGGUACAGGAGGAAAGGUUUACUGCUGAGGAAUGAGCCUGCGUCCGAUUAGCUAGUUGGUGGGGUAAAGGCUCACCAAGGCGACGAUCGGUAGCUGGUCUGAGAGGACGAUCAGCCACACUGGAACUGAGACACGGUCCAGACUCCUACGGGAGGCAGCAGUGGGGAAUUUUCCGCAAUGGGCGAAAGCCUGACGGAGCAACGCCGCGUGGGUGAUGGAAGUUUUUCGGAACGUAAAACCCUUUCGCCA
This 398-nucleotide ribosomal RNA is filed under the name uncultured bacterium. RNAcentral describes it as "bacterial SSU rRNA". It matches the Rfam family "Bacterial small subunit ribosomal RNA", at positions 28 to 441 of the family's 1533-position model. The record is from RNAcentral.